Molecule: ribosomal RNA, 209 nt
Filed under: uncultured bacterium
Lineage: Bacteria
Description: partial 16S ribosomal RNA
Rfam family: Bacterial small subunit ribosomal RNA
Source: RNAcentral
CGCGUGGGCAACCUGCCCUAAAGUGAGGAAUACCGGCGAGAAAUCGCCGACAAUACCGCAUAGGCUCUGCAAAGAGCAAAGCUCGCAAGGGCGCUUUAGGAUGGGCCUGCGUCUGAUUAGCUAGUUGGUGAGGUCAUAGCUUACCAAGGCGACGAUCAGUAGCUGGUCUGGGAGGACGAUCAGCCACACUGGGAUUGAGAACGGCCCAG